This is a non-coding RNA of Oryctolagus cuniculus (rabbit), 5958 nucleotides long. NCBI's taxonomy places the organism in Eukaryota, Metazoa, Chordata, Mammalia, Lagomorpha, Leporidae. The record is from RefSeq and is a predicted model, not a curated record.
AUAGCCCAGGUCCCAGGGCAGGUGCGGAUAGCACCCCUGUGCCUGGGCCCCCUCGCCCCGGCGCUCUGGGCAUACCCUGAUUUUAACGCUCUCCCUGGGGUUAACCACGCUGGUGUGUGUGUGGUCUUUCCUGCUUCUCGCGGGCGGGAGCGGGAUUGUGCGUGGCUGCGGACCCAGAGCCUCGUGCUCGGGGCGGAAGAAUGGCUGAACAAACGAAUGAGAGCCCGAGCAAAUGGGCAGGUGGACGCCCGGCAACCGCGGCUGACAGCGAGCGGCGCAGUGAGGGAGCGGACCCGGCCACGAGCGAGGGGUGCCGGAGCGGAUGGAUGCGUCAGCCGCUGGGAGCGCGGACGCACUCGCCGCAGCCAGCGGCAGAGGGAAGGGAGGAAGCCGCCCCCUCAGAGGGCAGGGGUCGGCUCCCUCCUCCUCCGCAGCCCCUGGAAGUUCCGGGCUGGGGUCGAGGGAGCCAGCGUGAGUCACCGGAUGCAGCGAGCGCCAGCAGAUGUCACCGCGCGCGGCAGGGUGGGUGCCGGGAAACCAUGGCAACCAAGCCCCCUCUCCCGCUGAGGCGCCCAGGGACACGGGAGAAUCCCCGUGCUUGUGUGUGGGAAACUUGAGGCCCGAGGUGCGGCUCCGACCUCUCUCUCCCGCCCCUUUCUGUCGGAUUCUUUCCCAUCAAACCCUCCCACGGUCUCUGAAACCAUGCGCAUCUGAGAAUCCACGCAGGGGCCCAGCAGUGCCCUCUCUGAGCCCCGGUUUUCAUUCACUGAUGCCGAGACGACCCCUGGCCACACAGCGCUGAUGAGAUGAUGGAUCGCAGAGGGCGCAUCUCAUCCCACAGUGCCUGGCCACGUGCUACGCAGUGGAGCCAACAAGAGAAGGAUCCAGCAGCGGGGCCUGCCCUCUGGUAGCUCCCAGCGAGGGGAGAGGCAGCCACACCGGGGAGGAGGUGACACAAAGCCCUCCGGCUGCCACGGUGCCUCCACAGGCCCCAGAGGGGACGGGGUGGGGAACUCCACUCUGGGGUGGGAGAGGCCACGCAGAGUUGGGGAGGGGUCCCAGAGGGCAAGCCAGGGCAGGCAGGAAGUGCUGAGGUGCCCCCGUGAGUGAUGGGGAAGACAAGGAAUGAGCAUUGAGGAGCACCGAGGGAGAACUGGGCAGACUGCGGAGCGAGGAUGCGCCCGGACCUCACAGGCCACAGCUCGCUGCCAGUGCUGCCCGGUCAUCGCUGCCGAGUUUCACCGUGGGGACGCCAGCGGUGACAGCGGGGCUCACCCGUCCUUCACCGCACCUGCCGUGACCCACACGUCGCACGGUCAGCCUGCACUUGGCUUCAUCCGCAGCCACGGCAGAGUCCCUCCCGUCUCUGUGCCUCAGAGAAAUGAAGGCACCUGCAGCAGCCAACGCAGGUCUGGGCGACCACAAAGCUGUGUUCUCCACAGGAGAGGGGCCCGGGGUCCCAGGCUUGGGUGAUACGCGCUGCGGUCACUCUGUGUUCGCCCAAGGCCAGGGGCACCUGCUGUGGUUCGAGCGUCCCCAACAAAGUGCAUGGUGAAAUUUAAUCCCCGUGGGAGGUCUGAAGAGGUAGGCCAGGGAUGGGGGGCUUUAGGAGGUGAAUGGGGUGGGCGCGCUUCCCUCAUGGGUGGAUGGGUGGGUUCCCGGUUGUCUCAGGCUCUGCUGUGGGAGCCGCGGGGCUCUGUGCUGUGCUCCCCUCUCACCGCAGGACAGCCUGCUCCAGAGCCCCCGCCAGCAAGGAGCCGGGCACCUGCAAGUCCUCCACCUCACAAGCCCAGCUUCCAGGGCUGGGGGCAGAAGGAGCUUCCUGCUUUAUGAAUGGCUCGGGCUCUGGCAUUCAGGCCAAGACUGCACCACGGCUGGUGGGGGGGACUGCCAGCCUGUGCCCUGGAACAGCCGGGGGACAGCCGGGGGACAGCUAAGGACAGCCGGAAAGGCCCAAGGCGGGAGAUGCGGGACUCCAGUCAGACACGCAGACAGGUGCAAGUUGGACUCCCCUUGGAAACACCAAAAGGAUGCUCGGUCUCUCUCUCCUUGAACCCCACGUCUCACAACCCAGCCACGUGAGCUGAUGGAUUUCCAGGCUCCCACAGAGGAAGGGCCCCGGCCACUGUCCCUGUGCUUUGGCCUCCUGGACGUAGCCAGGUGUCAGGAGGAAGAAGACAUUUCUAAGACUACAGAAGCUGGGCUGGUGGAUGGCGUGGAUGGCUGUGGAUGGCCGUGGAUGGCCGUGGAUGGCUGUGGAUGGCUGUGGAUGGCCAUGGAUGGGCCAUGGAUGGCCGUGGAUGGCCGUGGAUGGCCGUGGAUGGCUGUGGAUGGCCAUGGACGGGCCGUGAUGGCUGUGGAUGGGCGUGGAUGGGUGUAGAUGUGCCAUGGAUGGGCCGUGAAUGGGCCGUGGAUGGCCGUGGAUGGCCGUGGAUGGCCUUGGAUGGCCUUGGAUGGGCCAUGGAUGGCUGUGGAUGGCUGUGGGUGGCUGAGGAUGGCUGUAAGACUCAGGAUCUAAUGUCACCUGCUGAGGGCUCGGGCAGCAGGGGUGAAAGGACCUCCCCUCUCCCUAACCUGGGGGCCAGCAGCAGCAGAGUGGAGUCGGGUGUUGUGGGGUGGUGUGAAGGGAGCCCCUGGCUAUUUCCGUGACAUGUGGGGCAACUGACCCCGCCUCUGCAGCCAGGUGCCCCCUGGGGAGGGAUUGGGAUGGGGACACUUCCCCGAAUCUGACCAUCACCCUCGUGAGGGGUGGUCUUAGCCAAAAGAAAUUUAUUUCCUACCCCUGGCCAGAGAGGCCUCCAGCGAGACGGAGGUGGUCUUGGGAAAUAAAGCGCGCUACAGCCCCUCGACCUGUGCCGUCCCGUGCUCACGUCUCCCCCCAAGUGCAAGGCCCAUGUUUGAUGCCCAGCUCUGCCACUGACAGCGGUGCCACCCUGGUCACGUCGUGAGUCCCGAUCUCUGAACUGGAGCUCAGUGGAACCUCGUGGGGCACCUGCUCAUUCAGGUGUGUGCUUCUCAGAUCCUUAUCACCUGCCAUCCUCCAUGUUACCACCUGGCCAGUCCCCUCCCCCGCCCCGCUCCCUCCUGCACCUCACACUCCUCUGCCUGGGGGCCCAACUCCAGCCCGCAGCCGCAGGGGCCUGCCAGGGCGGCUGUCGCAUGGCAGUUGCUAACAGCGGUGCUGGCCAGACCCCACCACCACCACCACCAAGCCCUCACACUGGGAUCUGGGUUUUGUAGGCGACCGCUGAUCUGAGAGUUCUCCCUCUGUGUGUAUUUCACUCACACUCCAACGGGCCCAAAGCAAGCUGGACGCAUAAAUCGCUCAAAGAAAAUUGUAGGUUGAAAAUACUCACGGGACGUGAUGCUGAGCCCUGGCCGGGGUGGGGGGAGGAGGGGGCUGCAGGGCUGGGGCAAGAGGCGUCCCAGUCCACUGUCCACCUCCCCCGACUCAGCCUGCUGUGACCCUGAAGGAGCACAGAGGUGUUUCAAAGGCUGACACUGGGUCUCCCCUCUCCCCGCACCCCUGCAGCUGGCACACACACACACACACACACACACAUGCAUGUGCAAAUGGACACGUGCAUGUGCACACUCCAGCCCGAGGGACAAGGGAUCCACUACGGUGGAGCUGGGUGCAGAGACCGGAGGAGGGGACAGGACAAGGCUGGGGAGGGCCUCACUGAGGGACAGGGCAGGGUCUGAGCUGUGAGGGGCACACCGCAUCCUGGCUGCCCCGGCAGGUGAGGCCGUUCUGCCUAGGACGGUUCAUCUCCUGGCGCUGAGCCCAAGGUUGGAGCUCAGUAAGGGCUCGGGGAUGUUUGUUGAAUGAGAAAAUGUCAACAGUUCCAUUUCUUCUGGAAACCAAGACCCACAGGGUCCCCGGGUUGGCCACGUAGAGAACCAGGGGCUGCGAACAGCCUGCUGGGAACCCAAGGCUCAUGUUGGCUGAGAAGUGGCAGUCAGGGCUCAGGCAGCGAAGGAGCUGGAAGGUCAUGUCUGCGGGUCAUUGGAGUGGGCUGGGAAGCGCCAUUCCCGAGAACCUGUGCCACGCGUGGGCCAAGUCUCUCUCUGGAGCUAUGGCUGGUUUGGAGAGUCCGGUCCCGGCGGGUGGCCCCGGCCAAUGUAACAAAGGGUGAGGGCCAGCAGGUGGCGCUGUGACACGCCCCUGCGGACCCGGAGGUGACCUGGCUGGAGCGCAGGACCUGCGGGAGGGGAGCACUCCCGUUCCCCAGGCCGAUGCUGGUUCUCCACACGGCUGCCCUGAGCGAGGCCCGAGCCCUGUGAACCAGGCCCAGCUGCAGCCCGCGUUCCCUCUGCGGGCGGACGUGGACUGGACGGACGUUCCCCGGGGGCUGCACGGCUGGACACGCACAGCCACACCCUGCUUAGCCUGCCCUGUGCAAAGACCUGGGGAAGGCAGGGGCGAAACAGGAGGGCGCCUACUCGUCCCAAGGCUGCCUGCUGGGAGGAAAGCAGACCGCUCGCCCUCAGACGCCAGACUUGGCGCCCCUGUGCUCGCCGUGCCCUGCCGCGGCCACCGGGUGCCACCCGGAAGUCACUUGUGGGGUCAGAAGCCAGGGUCCCCCAGACUCUGCCACAAGGCACGAGCCUCAGAGGAGACCACAGAGUGGGAAGAUGUGGCACAGAGGCGGCCAACUCCCGUGACGGUAAAGCAUGCAACGGAUGGGCAGCAGCCCGCGGUCCUGACAGCAGCCUCGCUUCCGGCGUCAUCGCUUCCGGUGUCGGCACUUCCGGCAUCGUCACUUCCGGCGGCGCCAUUUCCCAUUGCCCUCGCCUAGUAAUGGUGACCCCAGGCUGAUAGUGGUCCUGGGCAGGCGCCCACCGUGCCGCCCCCCGCCCGGGCUGGCUCCCGGGGCGUGUCCCCGACACGUCUCCCGGCUCAGGCCUGGGGAUGGGUCCGAGGCUCGCUCAGCCUGGCUGCACGGUUGCCGAUGGGGGCGCAAAGGCCGCAGACUGAGGGGUCCUCCCGGUCAGACCACGGGAGGAGGGUGUCUGCUGCCCCAGGGGUGACCCACGUGCGGCUUCCGCGGGAGACAAAGCCCGCAGCCUUUCCACCUUGAGGACAGACUAUUUCCAAGCCAUCUUAAUAUUUGUUUUUAUUUGAAAGGCAGAGAGUCAGUGACAGACAGAUCUUCUGCCCGCUGGCUCGCUCCCCAAAUGUCCACACGAGCUGGGGCUGUGCCAGGCGCGAGCCAGAAGCCAGGAACUCAGUCUGGUGCUCCCACAUGGGUGGCACGGACCCAGUUGCUGGAGCCACCACCUGCCGCCUCCCGGGAUGCACAGUAGCAGGAAGCCGAAGCCGGGGGCGGAGCCAGAACCCACGCGCUCGCUGACAGCGAUGCGCGCGUCCCCAUGGCCUCUUCACCGCUCUGCCAGACGCCCACCGCAAGCCCUGCUUCAGAGAUUCUGAAAUGCAUAUUUAUGAUCUGCAGUAGCAGCUAGAAACACCAACUGUCGGGAGAGAUCAAUGGGGACUGAAUCACUCCGGGGGGAGUGGAAGUAGAUGACAAAGUCAUCUUGUUGGAUUCUGGGGUUUUGACAAGUGGAGCGCUGGUCCCUGUGGCCAGCGACACGGAUUCUGAAUGCCCUAAGGAGCCGCCCCGGCGGGGCGCCUGUCCACACACAUGGUGGGAGCUCCUUGUCUGGAUGGCGGGAGCCGCUGCCUGACUCACGCAUGGUUCUUCCUUCUGCACCUGAACUGGAGGUGCAGCCCGCGCCGGCCCUGCAGGCUCUCCCCAGCUCGUGCAAGGGCCAUGGGGGGCCCUCUGCAGGGGGAUGUGGGGGUGCUGGGGGGCUCGGGGCAGCUGGCUCAGAGCCUCCGACAUUGUCCUUCUUAGUAGCUGGACUCACACUUAUCAUACAAAUUAACCUCACUCCUGCAGGAGCAAAUAAAACUGAAUUCAACCACACGAGGACCACGGGCUGUCAUGAGUA